UACAGAGGGUGCAAGCGUUAAUCGGAGUUACUGGGCGUAAAGGGCGCGUAGGCGGUCGAAUAAGUGAGAUGUAAAAUCCCUGGGCUUAACCUAGGCAGGUCAUCUUAAACUGUUCGACUGGAGUACUGUAGAGGGUAGUGGAAUUUCCGGUGUAGCGGUGAAAUGCGUAGAGAUCGGAAGGAACACCAGUGGCGAAGGCGACUACCUGGACAGAUACUGACGCUGAGGCGCGAGAGCGUGGGGAGCAAACAGG
This 253-nucleotide ribosomal RNA is filed under the name uncultured bacterium. RNAcentral's name for it is "partial 16S ribosomal RNA". It matches the Rfam family "Bacterial small subunit ribosomal RNA", at positions 524 to 776 of the family's 1533-position model. The record is from RNAcentral.